This is a long non-coding RNA of Cynoglossus semilaevis (tongue sole), 376 nucleotides long. RefSeq lists it as uncharacterized. The transcript is spliced from 2 exons. NCBI's taxonomy places the organism in Eukaryota, Metazoa, Chordata, Actinopteri, Pleuronectiformes, Cynoglossidae. The record is from RefSeq and is a predicted model, not a curated record.
GACUACUUCUGAUGAGGUAACAUGAAGAGCGAUGUCAAUGACAACCACAGUCUUAAGGCUAAAAACAAGCCCAAGAACUGAAGGGUCCUGCUCAUGCAGCCAUGGAAACCCCUCAGUGCUACAAGCAAGGUCAAAGGUCUCCUCGAUCCGUCAGCUCCAAACUCAUCCUUCAACCGACCAGGAAUGACACAUGCUGUCCUGUGGUUUUAGGGGUGAAGGUAAAAAAAUAACCAGAGGCUGCACACCGAGGCUGAUGACCGCUAGGUAGACGUCACGAAGUAGCUCCGAAGGGCAGUGAGGAGCAGGAAACUGUGACGCAGUUGGACGUGGAAGCCAAUCAGAAGCAGAGGAGCGAGACCGCGAUCUUGGCUCAAAC